GCCCGACUAGUUCAAAGGACAGAACGCCAGGCUACGAACUUGGUGAUGGGGGUUCGAGUCCCUCGUUGGGUAC
RNAcentral lists this transfer RNA (73 nucleotides) under Streptomyces phage FlowerPower. Its description in RNAcentral is "tRNA-Arg". It matches the Rfam family "tRNA". Rfam says of the family: Transfer RNA (tRNA) molecules are approximately 80 nucleotides in length. RNAcentral also lists the same sequence under 5 other names. Lineage: Duplodnaviria; Heunggongvirae; Uroviricota; Caudoviricetes. The record is from RNAcentral.